Molecule: ribosomal RNA, 447 nt
Filed under: uncultured bacterium
Lineage: Bacteria
Description: bacterial SSU rRNA
Rfam family: Bacterial small subunit ribosomal RNA
Source: RNAcentral
UUCCAGACUCCUACGGGAGGCAGCAGUGGGGAAUAUUGCACAAUGGGGGAAACCCUGAUGCAGCGACGCCGCGUGAGUGAAGAAGUAUUUCGGUAUGUAAAGCUCUAUCAGCAGGGAAGAAAAUGACGGUACCUGAUUAAGAAGCCCCGGCUAACUACGUGCCAACAGCCGCGGUAAUACGUAGGGGGCAAGCGUUAUCCGGAUUUACUGGGUGUAAAGGGAGCGUAGACGGUGAUGCAAGUCAGAAGUGAAAGCCCGGGGCUCAACUCCGGGACUGCUUUUGAAACUGUGUGACUGGAGUGCAGGAGAGGUAAGCGGAAUUCCUGGUGUAGCGGUGAAAUGCGUAGAUAUCAGGAGGAACACCAGUGGCGAAGGCGGCUUACUGGACUGUAACUGACGUUGAGGCUCGAAAGCGUGGGGAGCAAACAGGAUUAGAUACCCUGGUAC